RNAcentral lists this ribosomal RNA (254 nucleotides) under uncultured bacterium. RNAcentral's name for it is "partial 16S ribosomal RNA". It matches the Rfam family "Bacterial small subunit ribosomal RNA", at positions 524 to 776 of the family's 1533-position model. The record is from RNAcentral.
UACGUAGGGGGCUAGCGUCGUCCGGAUUUAUUGGGCGUAAAGAGCUCGUAGGUGGUUCGGUAAGUCGGAUGUGAAAUCUCCAGGCUCAACCUGGAGGGGUCAUUCGAUACUGCCGUGACUAGAGUUCGGUAGAGGAGUGUGGAAUUCCUGGUGGAGCGGUGAAAUGCGCAGAGAUCAGGAGGAACACCCGUAGCGAAGGCGGCACUCUGGGCCGAUACUGACACUGAGGAGCGAAAGCGUGGGGAGCGAACAGG